AUGAAGCUCAGUUUACUAUGCGGUGCUGCAUUCUUUUUCCUGCAGGCAGGUCCAGUGAGUGCUGGCAUUACUCAGAAUCCCAAAUCGAUGCUCAUGAAGACAGGGCAACAUGUGACAAUGAAAUGCACUCAGGAUAUGAAACAUGACUCCAUGUUCUGGUACCGACAGGAUCCAGGGCUGGGGCUGAGGCUAAUCUACUACUCGUAUGAUGUUGGCAUCACUGACAAAGGAGACGUCCCUGAGGGGUACAAUGUUUCCAGAUCAAACACAGAGGAUUUUUUCCUUAUUCUGCAGUCAGCGUCCCCCUCCCAGACAUCUGUGUACUUCUGUGCCAGCAGUUAUACCACAGAGCUGUGUGCCUGCCUCCUCUCUGCACAUAAAGAUACAUGCAGAGAAGAGGCACCCACCCCUGGAACUCAGUGGCAUGUUGGAAUUCUCAGUGCUGGAAACUUGGAGCUCUGA
Microtus ochrogaster (prairie vole) is the source of this 462-nucleotide non-coding RNA. The record is from the annotation of a RefSeq genome assembly. Lineage: Eukaryota; Metazoa; Chordata; Mammalia; Rodentia; Cricetidae.